RNAcentral lists this long non-coding RNA (359 nucleotides) under Panax ginseng (ginseng). Its description in RNAcentral is "long non-coding RNA (PGIN_LNC005057)". Lineage: Eukaryota; Viridiplantae; Streptophyta; Magnoliopsida; Apiales; Araliaceae. The record is from RNAcentral.
ACUCCACUCUUCUUUUUCCAUACGACUCCAUGUGAGCUUCUUUUGACAAUGGGACCUCUCAAGUCACCAUAAAUUAGACAAGGAUUUGCCGACCUUUUUGCCACUCCUUCUCUCUCUAGAUCUACUGGUUUUCCUUCCGGCUCCCUGUAAUUCUUGGACAUAUGAGCUUCAUACAAAAUAUUCAAGAACGUGAUUAUCAGCAAAGGGCAUCUUUCUUUUUUUUGGCUAGGAGCCUUAGUUUUAUCAUAAAUGUUAUGCUAUUGGAUUCUUGGGAUUGUGUUGUGUUGUGUUUAGUGAAGAAUGAGAUUUGCUCUUAAAUAGCCGAUAAGAUUAUUUAUUUUUCUUGGGUUUUGUUGCAC